GUGAACGCUGGCGUUAGGCCUCACACAUGCCAGUCGAACGGCAGCACAGUAAGAGCUUGCUCUUACGGGUGGCGAGUGGCGGACGGGUGAGGAAUACAUCGGAAUCUACUUUUUCGUGGGGGAUAACGUAGGGAAACUUACGCUAAUACCGCAUACGACCUACGGGUGAAAGCAGGGGAUCUUCGGACCUUGCGCGAUUGAAUGAGCCGAUGUCGGAUUAGCUAGUUGGCGGGGUAAAGGCCCACCAAGGCGGCGAUCCGUAGCUGGUCUGAGAGGAUGAUCAGCCACACUGGAACUGAGACACGGUCCAGACUCCUACGGGAGGCAGCAGUGGGGAAUAUUGGACAAUGGGCGCAAGCCUGAUCCAGCCAUACCGCGUGGGUGAAGAAGGCCUUCGGGUUGUAAAGCCCUUUUGUUGGGAAAGAAAAGCAGCAGGUUAAUACCCCGCUGUUCUGACGGUACCCAAAGAAUAAGCACCGGCUAACUUCGUG
RNAcentral lists this ribosomal RNA (491 nucleotides) under uncultured bacterium. RNAcentral's name for it is "partial 16S ribosomal RNA". It matches the Rfam family "Bacterial small subunit ribosomal RNA", at positions 29 to 507 of the family's 1533-position model. The record is from RNAcentral.